AAUAGCUUUCGACUAAAGACGCAGACGAUGAGCAAAAGUCUGCCUUAAUAAAAUAGCUCGGGGGAACCUUAAGACAGGACAUCGGGGCGAAGGUAUGAAGGUACGGCAAUGCAGCCCAGUCUGGUCUGAGGAGGAGUGGGACUGUGAAAGCUGCAGCAAAGGGAAAGGACUUUCACCAGUUUCUUGAGUGAGAAGCGGAUGUUGGUGAAAAAAGGAAGUUGAGUUCAAGUUUGGAGCACAUGGCAUAAGCCAAAGAUCCCGGGAUGACUCUAAAAGCUAACGAGAUGAUUCUGGUUAAACCGGGCAUUCCUCAGAGCAAGGAAAGAUCUUUCAAAAAUAGAAUCAAGAGAAAGCGCUAGAACCGAUGUAAGUAAGAUC
This 378-nucleotide long non-coding RNA is filed under the name Nicotiana benthamiana. RNAcentral describes it as "long non-coding RNA (NBEN_LNC017910)". The record is from RNAcentral. Lineage: Eukaryota; Viridiplantae; Streptophyta; Magnoliopsida; Solanales; Solanaceae.